RNAcentral lists this ribosomal RNA (251 nucleotides) under uncultured bacterium. RNAcentral's name for it is "partial 16S ribosomal RNA". It matches the Rfam family "Bacterial small subunit ribosomal RNA", at positions 524 to 775 of the family's 1533-position model. The record is from RNAcentral.
UACGUAGGGUGCGAGCGUUAAUCGGAAUACUGGGCGUAAAGCGUGCGCAGGCGGUUUUGUAAGCCAGAUGUGAAAUCCCCGGGCUUAACCUGGGAAUGGCAUUUGGGACUGCAAGGCUUGAGUGCGGCAGAGGAGACUGGAAUUCCUGGUGUAGCAGUGAAAUGCGUAGAUAUCAGGAGGAACACCGAUGGCGAAGGCAGGUCUCUGGGCUGACACUGACGCUCAUGCACGAAAGCGUGGGGAGCGAACAA